AUGGAAGGGGAUUCAAGCAUACAUCAACAUAAAGAAAAUCCAAAAACAAUAAAGCAAGCUAUGGAAGUACCACAAUCGGGUCAAUCUACUAGUUUUAACACUCUAGGUAACGUGACUAUUUCUUUUCUACUUCCUUCCCUUCUUCUUCUACUACUACUACUACUCUCUCUGAAUUUCUCCGCGUGUUGCUAUGUGUUGGUGCUAGUAUGA
Vicia faba (fava bean) is the source of this 210-nucleotide non-coding RNA. The record is from the annotation of a GenBank genome assembly. NCBI's taxonomy places the organism in Eukaryota, Viridiplantae, Streptophyta, Magnoliopsida, Fabales, Fabaceae.